GACGAACGCUGGCGGCGUGCUUAACACAUGCCAGUCGAACGGUGAAGCGCCUUCCUUUUUGGUGGGUGUGGAUGAGUGGCGAACGGGUGAGUAACACGUGAGUAACCUGCCCCCUUCUUCUGGAUAACCGCAUGAAAGUGUGGCUAAUACGGGAUAUUCUGGGUCUGUCGCAUGAUGGGUCUGGGAAAGAUAUUGUUUCGGUGGGGGAUGGGCUCGCGGCCUAUCAGCUUGUUGGUGGGGUGAUGGCCUACCAAGGCGGUGACGGGUAGCCGGCCUGAGAGGGUGGACGGUCACACUGGGACUGAGACAUGGCCCAGACUCCUACGGGAGGCAGCAGUGGGGAAUAUUGCACAAUGGGCGCAAGCCUGAUGCAGCGACGCCGCGUGAGGGAUGGAGGCCUUCGGGUUGUGAACCUCUUUCGCCAGUGAAGCAGGCCUGCCUCGUUUGUGGGUGGGUUGACGGUAGCUGGAUAAGAAGCGCCGGCUAACUACGUG
Molecule: ribosomal RNA, 494 nt
Filed under: uncultured bacterium
Lineage: Bacteria
Description: partial 16S ribosomal RNA
Rfam family: Bacterial small subunit ribosomal RNA
Source: RNAcentral